RNAcentral lists this transfer RNA (74 nucleotides) under Loxodonta africana (African savanna elephant). It matches the Rfam family "tRNA". Rfam says of the family: Transfer RNA (tRNA) molecules are approximately 80 nucleotides in length. Their secondary structure includes four short double-helical elements and three loops (D, anti-codon, and T loops). The record is from Rfam by way of RNAcentral. Lineage: Eukaryota; Metazoa; Chordata; Mammalia; Proboscidea; Elephantidae.
CCCUGUGUGGUGCAAAUAGUUAACACGCUUGGCUGCUAAACAAAAGUUUGGUGGUUGGAAUCCACCAAGAGGUG